Molecule: long non-coding RNA, 898 nt
Organism: Eriocheir sinensis (Chinese mitten crab)
Lineage: Eukaryota; Metazoa; Arthropoda; Malacostraca; Decapoda; Varunidae
Exons: 4
Source: RefSeq, a predicted model, not a curated record
GAUGGUAUCAUCUUCGUGGCGCGGCGCUGUACUCUCUCAAGUAAUUCAAUGUCUUUCCUGUAAUUAGGAGACCAGAAUUGCACGGCGUAUUCCAGGUGGGGCCUUACCAGCGAAUUAUACGAGACCGAGAUUGGACAAGUUAGGAAAGUUUUGUCCCUUGGUUCAAAGUUUUCCCACGGGGGUAGGCGUAUGACAUCACCGAUGUCUUUGAGGAGCCUCGCGGUGACCGGCGAGGGAGAAGAAAGGCGUGCAGCUUUGCAUGUGCCUUGGCCAGGCCGCGAUAUUUUUUUUCCUGCCUGGUUCCGUACACUCGAGCAAAUGUCUACAUUUGGCAACACUGUCGCGGGAGCGGAGGCCGGUGGGGGAGACGGCGCGCGCCGCGCCGUCAUCAGCUGACGACAACAGUGGGAAGACGGAAGAGGCUGAGUGAGAGAGCUCUGUGGAUGUAUACAGCCAAUAAUGGACAGUGGCAACAUAAAGAUUUGUUCAGAGUCACACUGCAGCAUUGGACUCCUUCAUGAUGUACGACAACUUAGUGCACUGUUACCGGAGGGAUACCAGUACACAGUGUGCGAAUACGCAGGUACAACUGAAGGCACAAAUGCUGUUCUACGAUUACAUGUCACAACUGAGGCCAUCGCCCGUACGUGGAUAAAAGAGUUUCAAGGAAAAACUAAAACUACUCUACGAACUCUAUCCAAGCAUAAAGUGACUGGUCAGAAAAGAGUCUUCCAGAUGCAUCUACGGUGUCACCACAACACCAAACCCAGGAGUAACACGGCCGAUUCAAGACAUGGAUCAAAAAACACAGAUUGUCCAGCCACCGUGAGUGUGAUCGUGAAGCAAACAAAUACUAAGCGAAAGAGCAGAUCAACUGAUACCCAUGCAACUGCCCUCC